CCUUUGGAGUGUCGGACCAAACGAAAGUAGCUAUCAGCAAAAUCGGACACAAUGAACAAGGAA
This 63-nucleotide small RNA is filed under the name Gottschalkia purinilytica. Its description in RNAcentral is "Clostridium purinilyticum RAGATH-18 RNA". It matches the Rfam family "RAGATH-18 RNA". From Rfam's summary of the family: Actinobacteria, Firmicutes, Fusobacteria, Thermotogae (1 example). Nearby to self-cleaving ribozyme genes Lineage: Bacteria; Bacillati; Bacillota; Tissierellia; Tissierellales; Gottschalkiaceae. The record is from Rfam by way of RNAcentral.